GAUUGCCCUCACAACCCCCCCCCCCCCCCCUCCAUCCACCUCCUGCUGUUCUGGUUGUUGGUGUGGGUUUUAAGUGGGUGUCCCGUCGUCCGUAGCGUUAAGGAUGUGUCCCUUUCUCUGUGCCCGAGGCAUGCUAUGCUGUCUGGUCUGUGCUCCUGGUCACAUGACCCCCACUGACCUCCCUGUCCCCGGCUGCAAUAGGUCCGCCUGACUCGGGAUGCGUUGUGUUACGCAAAAGUGGGGAGGCAAUUAAGCGUUGCACCAACCAGCGCGCCAGGGAAGUCUCUCACCGCCAAGCUUGGCUGGUGGAAGGAAGGAGAGGAGAGAAGGAGUGGAUGGAGGGAUGGUAAUGGAUGGAUUGAAGGAAGGAUAGAUAGAUGGAGGAAAGGUGAGUACCCCAAGCAUGGAUCACCUCUUCCAGACCAUUCCUACUCCUCUGUCCUGCACCGCCCCCCUGGUUGCGGAGACUCCACCCGAGUCCUUGGAUGGGGUUCGACUCCAUAGGGUACUGAGUCCUUGGAUGGGGUUCGACUCCAUAGGGUACUGAGUCCUUGGAUGGGGUUCGACUCCAUAGGGUACUGAGUCCUUGGAUGGGGUUCGACUCCAUAGGGUACAUUACUGAGUCCUUGGGUGGGGUUCGACUCCAUAGGGUACUGAGUCCUUGAAUGGGGUUCGACUCCAUAGGGACCUGCAAAGCAGGGGCCUUCAUCUCCUACUCUGGUGAGUUGGUGCGUUUUGGGCUUUACUGGGUAGCCUUGGUGAAGUGGCUAUCAAGUAAGCACUGGGGAGCCUAAUAGCAACGCAAUCUAGGAAACCACUUCCUCUGCUCAGAUUUGGACGAGGAGGCGACUUUCUUUUUAAAACACACCAGGGUAGGAUUUGUGAGUCCCUGCCUUCCUCCGCAACCAGAAGUUAUAUCACCAGGCUGGCUCCAUGUUUUAGCGGUUAGCUGGCUAACUCUGGUAAACAUACUGAAGAAAAUACCUUCACGGUCAAUGGCUUCAAACUCACAAAGCCUCGAACCCCUGUUUGUGUUUUAACAUGAGUCAUGCACCGCUGACAGAAGGUCAAAGGUCAGUCUCAGUACUUUCCGGAGAUAGCGAGCUAACUUUAAAACGCACUUUGUGAUAUAAAACACAGGGCUUGACUCAUUUAUUUCAGUGAGCGGCUCCCAUCUCCCUGCUGUCUGACUGGUGUGUUUCAUAUUUUCCCGCUGAGCAAGGAAGUCCUCCACAGAGGAUCAAUGCCCUGCCCUUUGUAUGUUCACACAUUCACCACAAAAUGGCUGCCGCCACCUCCUCCCCCCCCCCCCCCUACACUGCCCCCCAUGUCCACACUCUGUGCGCUGGAUGGCUAACACAAGCCUAGCCGUUACGCUUGUCCAGAAAGCAGCUAUCUCCGGAACCGGGCCUGGCCCAGGUCUGGCCCUGCUCUGGACCUGGUCUGGCACGGCCUCGCUCCGCUCCGGAGAAAGCUGCUUUCUGCUUGUGUUCUUGGGUCACGUGUAGUCCUUGACUAGCUUCCAUUGCCUCUCGCUAGUAGCAAAGCCACAUGGUAUCUGUGUGAUGUGUGUCUGGUCAAGAUAAUCCCCCCGUUUGUGUCCUGAGCAGCAACGUUUCAUUAGAGAAACAAUUAAUGUGUUUUUUUUUUUUAAAGUACAAUAAUCAAAUCAAGAAAACAAUUCUAUUGCAGGCGAUAGGAUGCCUAUAAUUUGUCAUUUGUAACGGUUGCCUUUUACAUGGAGAUGAAGUAGUUGGAGCAUGUUUUGAAGAGGUGCAUAAAAUGGCGAUACCUCAUGUCUGUGACAAAAAUGUACACUCCUGUGACCUCGUCUGCAUGGGUACAAUUUGUUAUCAUCUGCAUGCCAAUCUCGAAAUAAAUCACUUGGAAUUAGAAGGGACGCUGUUUUGAUUUUUUCUUCCAUCACACUAAACCGCACUGGGCUGUGUCAAUUCAAGGCUUUCAUUUUUUUUUUUAAAGGGUGCCUGUAUCAAUAUUAUGGUAAAACUACAAAACAGACAGACUUUUGUCGACUCACAGAGAACUUAUUUGUUAAAAUAAAGCAUAGCUGAACAUUAAUGUAAUAGCCUUUUCGGAAUAAGUUUCAAAGAAAAGAAAAAACUGGGUGCAAAAUUGAAAAAGAACAUUCACAUCCGCUCCAGCCUGAGUACAGAUGCAGGUCAAAAUGAAUGACCUU
Molecule: long non-coding RNA, 2197 nt
Organism: Clupea harengus (Atlantic herring)
Lineage: Eukaryota; Metazoa; Chordata; Actinopteri; Clupeiformes; Clupeidae
Source: Ensembl